AGCAGGAGGAGAAAGAGAGGAGGAGGAGGAGAGGAGGAAGAAGGAGGAAGAGAAGGAGGAGGAGGAAGAAGGAGGAAGGAGGAAGAAGAAGGAGGAGGAGGAGGAGGCGCCCCGGCCGCCGUUGCCACGUCCCCGACGCCUUGUCCACCGGCGCCCUGGCCCCUUCACCACCGCUGCCCUACGACGCCCACUAGAGAAGAGCCAGUCGGAGCGGCGCCGGAGUACCUCGGCGACCCCGAUCGCCUUCCUUGCCGCUGCGGGUCUGCCUGCACCGCGUCGCCUCGCCACUGCACCGACCCGCCACGGCCCCGCUAGCCUGACUCCACCGCCACCCUAGAGGAUGGAGGACCGUGAGUGGAUGUACACGGGCCGCGCAAGUCAGGGUCAGGUCACCAAUGAAUGGAUCGACAAGACCGAUGCUUUCUUGGAACGGGCAUUUGGCGUGGCUGCUAAAGGAGCGAGUAAAAUUUGCUGUCCCUGCAGCAAAUGUGCAAACAGGAAAAGACAAACGAAGAAGGUCAUGGGGGAACAUCUUUGGAAGAAUGGAUUUACGGCAGACUAUACCCGGUGGGUCUACCAUGGU
Phragmites australis (common reed) is the source of this 583-nucleotide long non-coding RNA. RefSeq lists it as uncharacterized. The transcript has 3 exons. The record is from RefSeq and is a predicted model, not a curated record. Lineage: Eukaryota; Viridiplantae; Streptophyta; Magnoliopsida; Poales; Poaceae.